AUUGCUUAAUUAACUCAGGAACCACACCUGUGUGGAAGCAUCUGCUUUCAGUAUACUUUGUAUCCCUCAUUUACUCAAGUGUUUCCUUUAUUUUGGCAGUUGCCUGUAUAUGUAAAUAACCAUGACAUUUUAGAUGGCUGAUAGUCAGGCGUAUAUGAAUUUUAUCUAGAGCUGAGCGCUAUUUUUACAGAUGGACUUGAUCUGCCUACAACAGAAACACAUAAUCACUGCCUCGUAGAUUGUGAUGAUAGAAUGCAGUGUAAACCUACCUUGAAGCAUUACAUUGGCAUGACAAACGUACUGUGAAUUGUUAUUACAAUAUUUAGAGGCUUUCUGGUGCCAAUGUAAUUGCAGUCAUCCUAACAUUUGGCAUUUCAAAACUUGCUCUGGGCAGGGGCAACAAAAAUAAUACCACUCUCCUAAGUGUAUUAAAAUUGUUUUACAGUAUGAGGAGCAUAUGUGAAAUAUGAGGGUUAACCCACUGGGGCUAAUAUAUGAAUAGCUGCUAACUGAAAGACAUCAAUCCAUGUUAGCAUUGAGUGGUCCAGGUGGCUCUUGCGGUCACUGGGGUUGUUACUGAUGAACCGUCCAUUCCACUGCCAUAACUUUCACCUGUAUCAACAGUCUUGUUUUAGAACAAAUAUUCACUGUUUGCUAGUGUGCAUUUAAAGCUGUUUUGAAUGUAUUUCUUGCGUUUCUACUUUCCCUCCAUAAUUCCUUUUCACAUAUACAUUUCAGUCAGAGCUGCCAUCAUGAAAAUACAAACAUAUUGAUUUACAGACCUGUUGUACCAGGCAAUGUGUCAUCAUGUUAAAAAAGACUGCUACAUAUUUAAAUCUUGCCACAAGUGCAGUACAGUUUUAUGACAAGCAUUUGCAUGUUGCUGUCUAUAGGUGUUGUUUUGUGUUAAAAUGAUUGUACAUCUGGAUUUGUUUACUUUUAUUGUAUUCUCACAAGUUGGGUCUAAAAUGUAGACCUAUUAUAACUCUAGAUCAAUUUAAGUUUGUUAAUGUAUUUAAAUGUUCAUUUUGUAUAGCCUAAGUGUGUUUUGUCUAUGUUUUCAUUGAUAUGAAUGGAGUACUCUGUAUAGUUCAAAAAGUAUUGACUUUUUAUGUUGGCCAUGUGGUUGCUUCUGGAUCAGUUGUACUUGUUUUGGAUCUGUAAAAAUACAUAAAUGCUUGACAAAUAAACUGCCUGAUACCCACGAGCUUCUUCGGAGCCAGAGACGAACAUGGACUGGACCAAAUUAACUGAAGUUUGUCGCGUGGUGGUGUAAUUGCCAUAGCAACGGGAAAAUGGCAGUAAAUCCUUUGCCAUCAUCUCUACCUGGCAGCGUCAAUUCGUAUUUCAACGCCUACAAAAACUCGCUUUUUGCCGAUGUCGAAAAACAGAAAACAACCUGCAAAAAACGUUUUAUCCACAGACUGGUGUAUGUAGCAACGAGAAAGCUAAACGCUGACGAUAAACAGAGUGCAAUUGCAGAAUACUAUGAGCAAUUUUUGUCGAAAUUCCAGAAAAACCCACAGACUGAGAAAGUCACUGGGAUACUGCUAUUAUAUCCCAAAAGUAUAAUUCAUUUGAUGGAG
Long non-coding RNA from Oncorhynchus tshawytscha (Chinook salmon), 1586 nucleotides. RefSeq lists it as uncharacterized. NCBI's taxonomy places the organism in Eukaryota, Metazoa, Chordata, Actinopteri, Salmoniformes, Salmonidae. The transcript is spliced from 3 exons. The record is from RefSeq and is a predicted model, not a curated record.